RNAcentral lists this transfer RNA (73 nucleotides) under Canis lupus familiaris (dog). It matches the Rfam family "tRNA". From Rfam's summary of the family: Transfer RNA (tRNA) molecules are approximately 80 nucleotides in length. Lineage: Eukaryota; Metazoa; Chordata; Mammalia; Carnivora; Canidae. RNAcentral also lists the same sequence under 3 other names. The record is from Rfam by way of RNAcentral.
AUCUGGCUGGCUCAGUUGGUAGAGCCUGAGGCUCUUGAUCUCAGGGUUGUGAGUUCGAGCCCCACGAUGGGCA